RNAcentral lists this ribosomal RNA (423 nucleotides) under uncultured bacterium. RNAcentral describes it as "bacterial SSU rRNA". It matches the Rfam family "Bacterial small subunit ribosomal RNA", at positions 358 to 773 of the family's 1533-position model. The record is from RNAcentral.
GGAAUAUUGGACAAUGGGCGAAAGCCUGAUCCAGCGACGCCGCGUGUGUGAAGAAGGCCUGCGGGUUGUAAAGCACUUUCGAUGGGAACGAAAUGUGCCGGGUUAAUACCCCGGCAAGCUGACGUUACUCAAUGAAGAAGCACCGGCUAACUCUGUGCCAGCAGCCGCGGUAAUACAGAGGGUGCGAGCGUUAAUCGGAAUUACUGGGCGUAAAGCGCACGUAGGUGGCGACGUAAGUCGGGUGUGAAAGCCCCGGGCUCAACCUGGGAAUUGCAUUCGAGACUGCAUUGCUGGAGUACGGAAGAGGAGGGCGGAAUUCCCGGUGUAGCGGUGAAAUGCGUAGAUAUCGAGAGGAACACCAGUGGCGAAGGCGAGUCUCUGGACGACACCUGACACUGAGGCACGAAAGCCAGGGGAGCAAAC